RNAcentral lists this ribosomal RNA (853 nucleotides) under Dyella sp. RNAcentral describes it as "bacterial SSU rRNA". It matches the Rfam family "Bacterial small subunit ribosomal RNA", at positions 87 to 932 of the family's 1533-position model. Lineage: Bacteria; Pseudomonadati; Pseudomonadota; Gammaproteobacteria; Lysobacterales; Rhodanobacteraceae. The record is from RNAcentral.
GGUGGCGAGUGGCGGACGGGUGAGUAAUGCAUCGGGACCUGCCCAGACGUGGGGGAUAACGUAGGGAAACUUACGCUAAUACCGCAUACGUCCUACGGGAGAAAGCGGGGGAUCGAAAGACCUCGCGCGGUUGGAUGGACCGAUGUUCGAUUAGCUAGUUGGUGAGGUAAUCGCUCACCAAGGCGACGAUCGAUAGCUGGUCUGAGAGGAUGAUCAGCCACACUGGGACUGAGACACGGCCCAGACUCCUACGGGAGGCAGCAGUGGGGAAUAUUGGACAAUGGGCGAAAGCCUGAUCCAGCAAUGCCGCGUGUGUGAAGAAGGCCUUCGGGUUGUAAAGCACUUUUAUCAGGAGCGAAAUACUGCCGGCUAAUACCCGGCGGGGCUGACGGUACCUGAGGAAUAAGCACCGGCUAACUUCGUGCCAGCAGCCGCGGUAAUACGAAGGGUGCAAGCGUUAAUCGGAAUUACUGGGCGUAAAGCGUGCGUAGGCGGUUAUUUAAGUCUGCUGUGAAAUCCCCGGGCUCAACCUGGGAAUGGCAGUGGAUACUGGAUAGCUAGAGUGUGAUAGAGGAUGGUGGAAUUCCCGGUGUAGCGGUGAAAUGCGUAGAGAUCGGGAGGAACAUCAGUGGCGAAGGCGGCCAUCUGGAUCAACACUGACGCUGAGGCACGAAAGCGUGGGGAGCAAACAGGAUUAGAUACCCCUGGUAGUCCACGCCCUAAACGAUGCGAACUGGAUGUUGGUCUCAACUCGGAGAUCAGUGUCGAAGCUAACGCGUUAAGUUCGCCGCCUGGGGGAGUACGGUCGCAAGACUGAAACUCAAAGAAAUGAACGGGGGCCCCGCACAAAGCG